Molecule: long non-coding RNA, 919 nt
Filed under: Capsicum annuum
Lineage: Eukaryota; Viridiplantae; Streptophyta; Magnoliopsida; Solanales; Solanaceae
Description: long non-coding RNA (CANN_LNC001488)
Source: RNAcentral
GCUGUCGUAUAUUCUGAAUCAAAGUUUAGUUACAUUUGCGAGUUACCUGAGACCAAAUUUGGCACCUUUCGAACUUGCUCAAUACUACAUGAAAACCCCAAUAAAAGAGCAGGUGUGAUAUGGAGAUGCCCAGAACAUUGAAGACAUGGGUUGUUUAAAUUAACGUGCUGAAAAUGAAUAUUAUACGUUAUCCUCUUCAUGCUUCAUUACACAACGAGAUUGUUGAUUCUUUCAAAGAGGUUGCUGGAAAGCAAAAAGUAAUAGAUAGCUCGAGAACAAGACCAAGAAAAUAGAGUCGGUCAAUGAUGGAAAUCACUCAUUUUGGUCCCUUCAUGAUGGUAUACAGAUCGAAUGUCAUGUAGUAUGCAAUGCAGCCAAAAUCCAGAGACACAAAGAUAGGUAGUAGAUGAGAUAGCUUGAUAGAAGAAUCCACCUUAAUGGUCCUAUUCCAAAACCAAAAAAAGAGCAAACCUCAGUUAAGAUUUAUCAUGAAUCAAGUGUGCAUAACAAAGCAUAAGGUCUGAGUGGAGAAUGGAGCUAACCUGUACAAGCUACAAAAGAAAGCAGGAAUAGGAACGCCACUGGAAGAACUGCUACUGUUAUGGAUUUUCUCACUCUCGUUCCAGUUUUCAUUGCUCAAAGUAUGAGAUAAACAAGGAACUUGGAUGUUGUAUAAGUGGAUAAAUGCUUAUAUUAAUUAUGUGCAAUAUGUUGGUUCUUGUCGCUAGGUAGGCGGAGUAACUCGCAGUAUGUUUGGUAGAUGCCUAAUGGUGAACAAGGUUUUCAUCACAUUUAUGUACACAUGUAAAGAGAGAGAAAAGAAAAAAAAAAGAAUUUGAUAAGGUAAUCAUACAUCAGAACAAGUCAAUUUUGGAGAAUCUAAUACCAACAUUUUUGAAGACUCUAAGAAAGAUAUAUA